AACUGCGAAUGGCUCAUUAUAUAAGUUAUCGUUUAUUUGAUAGCACCUUACUACUUGGAUAACCGUGGUAAUUCUAGAGCUAAUACAUGCUAAAAAUCCCAACUUCGGAAGGGAUGUAUUUAUUAGAUUAAAGACCAAUGCCCUUCGGGGCUCCUUGGUGAUUCAUGAUAACUUCUCGAAUCGCAUGNCCUUGCGCCGGCGAUGGUUCAUUCAAAUUUCUUCCCUAUCAACUUUCGAUGCGAAGGUCUUGUCUUCGCAUGGUUACAACGGGUAACGGAGGGUUAGGGCUCGACCCCGGAGAAGGAGCCUGAGAAACGGCUACUACAUCUAAGGAAGGCAGCAGGCGCGCAAAUUACCCAAUCCCGACACGGGGAGGUAGUGACAAUAAAUACUGAUACAGGGCUCUUUUGGGUCUUGUAAUCGGAAUGAGUACAAUUUAAAUCCCUUAACGAGGAACCAUUGGAGGGCAAGUCUGGUGCCAGCAGCCGCGGUAAUUCCAGCUCCAAUAGCGUAUAUUAAAGUUGUUGUGGUUAAAAAGCUCGUAGUCGAACCUUGGGCCUGGCUGGCCGGUCCCCCUCACCGGGUGCACUGGUCCGGCCGGGUCUUUCCCUCUGUGGAACUGCAUGCUCUUUACUGGGCGUGUAGGGAAACAGGACUUUUACUUUGAAAAAAUUAGAGUGCUCCAGGCAGGCCUAUGCUCGAAUACUUCAGCAUGGAAUAAUAGAAUAGGACGUGUGGUUCUAUUUUGUUGGUUUCUAGGACCGCCGUAAUGAUUAAUAGGGACAGUCGGGGGCAUCAGUAUUCAAUUGUCAGAGGUGAAAUUCUUGGAUCUAUUGAAGACUAACUACUGCGAAAGCAUUUGCCAAGGAUGUUUUCAUUGAUAAGGAACGAAAGUUAGGGGAUCGAAGACGAUCAGAUACCGUCGUAGUCUUAACUAUAAACUAUGCCGACUAGGGAUCGGACGAUGUUGUCAUAUGACUCGUUCGGCACCUUUCGAGAAAUC
RNAcentral lists this ribosomal RNA (1003 nucleotides) under Knoxdaviesia capensis. Its description in RNAcentral is "SSU rRNA". It matches the Rfam family "Eukaryotic small subunit ribosomal RNA", at positions 85 to 1099 of the family's 1831-position model. The record is from RNAcentral. Lineage: Eukaryota; Fungi; Ascomycota; Sordariomycetes; Microascales; Gondwanamycetaceae.